Molecule: long non-coding RNA, 741 nt
Filed under: Apteryx rowi (Okarito brown kiwi)
Lineage: Eukaryota; Metazoa; Chordata; Aves; Apterygiformes; Apterygidae
Description: lncRNA (ENSARWG00000000723.1)
Source: RNAcentral
AUGCCUGCUAAUUAUGACCUCUUUAUUUGGACCUGUUCAGAUCCAUCCAUACGCUUAGAAAAUAAAAGAGAUUUAUAUAUGUUUCUAGCUCUUCAUAUGGAAAACUCUCCAUAUUGUGUUGCCCCAUCUGAGGAGUUCAAUAAGACUGGGAUUGUAGUAUGUGGGUCAGACAGAGUACUCAAAGUGAUAGCUAUGAGUUGCUCCAAAGUUGGCGUUCAUGCUGUACAACAAAUGUUUCUGAAUCCUCCUUCUUUAAGUAACUGUACUGUGUAUCUGUCCAGGAAACCAUGCACAACUUGUACCACAUUCCUCAUUCAAGGUGCAAUUUCUUCAGUCUAUUACUGGCCGAGGGCCCCUGAAAGAAAGGGAGAUGAUUCAGAAAUUAAGGAAGAUAUUCAGCAAGCUGACCAUAUGUUUCUUAGGAGCCAUAUCAAUAGCAGUGUGCUCUUACCCAUGACAAUCUUUGAAAUGGUGAAAAAGAUUGCAAAAAAAGUACAAUGCAAUGGGGACCCCAACAGGAGUUUUGAGAUACCCCAAAAUUUUGAAAAAUAUUGUUCAUGGUUUAACAUGAAUAUCUGCCAAGAUGCAUAUCUCAAACGGAUGAAAAAUGCUUUACGUUGCUAUAAUCUUUUACUGGGAACUCUCCAACCUGAGAGGAAAAGUCAUAAUGAAAAUAUUCAUCGACAUGCAUUGCAGCUUUGUUAUUUUCAAGCGUCAAGAUCUGUUUGGGACAGGCUAUAA